AACGAUGUCUCUAAAGUUCUUUUGAGACUAAACAAUAAAACCAACACUUCCACACUUGAAAUGGAGGUAUGAGUGCUUAAAAAAUAAUUGAAACUCCUUGGUAAGUCUAUAAUUCUUUGUUUAGGAGCUAGGCAAAAUAUCUUUUGGGGGAGUCAUUUUCUUGAUAUAAAAAAUGGCCAGAUGCAAUCAUUUUCUUGAGGCUCUUGCAUUAUCCAUGGUUUCUUUUUUCUUUUUAUAAAUACAUUACAUUUUAUUGCAGCUACAUGCUUGCUGUAAUUACUAGAUUGUAGUUAGGCAAUUUACAAAUCUACUAUAAAUUUCUUUUUAAACUUCACUCUUCCUCUGUAGCUCUUUAUGAAAAAAAAUCAUUGAAAAGAUUUAUUCAUUGAUUCUCUACAGAGCCAGCAAAGGGAUAGAAACAAACUGUUGAACAAGAUUUCUUUCAUUUUUAAAAAAACUCUUCAAGCAUAUACUCCCAUAGAGUACUGGAUGAUUAAAAAGAUUCUUCAGACUUAAUUUCUGGGUAUUUUCUUCAAUUUGCCAUAAAUGUUCACAGGUAUAUAUUGUUUAUAGGUAUGGGAGUGGAUGUAUCUUACAAAGUAGCCAGGAAUCAGUACAGAAGUUUCAGUCUGCAUCAGCAGUUUGAGCCAGAGAAAGUUUAGCUAUGUUUUCUUUAAAUCAAUAAGACACAGUGAUGUUAAACAUGGGUCAUAUGGGACACUGCAGCUUUGCACUAAUGUCAGAAUCCCUGCUGCAAGAGAUGGCAUUGACACUUGGGUUACAGACAGAGUUGACCAGUCUUUCAUGCAGCCCGCUGGGAUGAAUCAGAUUUAUCAUAUAUACUCAUGUAUAAGUCGACCUCAUAUACAAAGUUGGGGGCCAAAAUGUGGAUGUCUAUAAGGCAGUUCUAGCUGUUUUUCUCUAAGAUUUCUUUAAGAUUUCAUAAAUUUCUAAGAUUUAUGAAAAGGCCUCCCUCGGAGUACAUACUAUUGGGCUAUUGGAUUAUGACCUGUUAGGAUCAUAACCUAAGGGGAUUAUGAUCUGUUAGGAUCAUAACCUAUUGGGUAGCAGAGUUUCAGAAGUGUUCCUUUAGCUUAUUGGGUAAUGGAUGAUCACUGGGCACAUAAAUAUCUUGUUUCUAUUUGAUGCUCUCAGCAGACAAAGAUUCAAGUAGACUUCUUCAAAAUAGCAUGUUGGUUUAACUCACAACUUCAUGUACUUAAUAUACAGGUACAUUUCUUGUCAGGUUAAACUUUAAAAUGUUUCAGUUUGUAUCUUUAAUUUUAGUCUUUAAUAGUCUCUUCAAAGCUAUAUUGUUUUGUACACCUCUCUUUAAUAGCAGUCUACUUCCAAGGAAACACAAGCCUCAACUGACUUCUAACAUUGACUUCUGUCCUUAAACAAGCACAAGACUCAAUGUCUUCUAACUCCUAACGCUGGCUUCUGCACUCUAACAGACUCAAGCUUCAACUGUUCUCUAACUGUCAUCCUUUUAAAAACUGAACAUUCUAAACAGUCACUGAACCAGUCACAUGGUCUGCAGUAGCCCCUCCCACUGCUUCAAGUACAUAGAGCUAAGAAACGGCAAACCAAAGAAGACAUACACUUCAGGAAAUAAACCGACACAUUAUAAAACAGACAAAAUAUUAAAUAAAUAAAAGGGCCUUGAGAAGGUUGCUGUCUCCAACAUAUACCUCUACCACAACAGUUUUAAUCUCUUGCAAAUUAGUUUGAAGACCCACAUAUUGACUUUUCUCAUGCCAAUUCUGGACUCAAAUAAGAAUGAAAAAACCAUGCUGCUUGUGAUCUGCUGAAAUGAAUUCCUGUCACAAUUUUUGUGACUUGGAUGUUGUAUAAUAAAAUUACUUUUUAUUCAUCCUUAUACAUAACAGCAAGACAGCAGAUUUUGCCUAUGAUCACAGAACAGCAAGAGUAACUAUAAAUCCAUCUAUUACAGUAAGAGAAAUUUGUAAUGUUAUAAGACUGCUAAAGGAAAGACAACAGGCCCAGGUAUUAUAAAUAUUUUG
Molecule: long non-coding RNA, 2027 nt
Filed under: Anolis carolinensis (green anole)
Lineage: Eukaryota; Metazoa; Chordata; Lepidosauria; Squamata; Anolidae
Description: lncRNA (ENSACAG00000039165.1)
Source: RNAcentral